ACGGAGGGUGCGAGCGUUAUUCGGAAUUACUGGGCGUAAAGCGCGUGCAGGCGGGAAGGUAAGUCUGAUGGGAAAGACCCGGGCUUAACACGGGGAAUGCAUUGGAAAAUGCUUUUCUUGAGUACUGGAGAGGGAGGGGGAAUUCCCGGUGUAGAGGUGAAAUUCGUAGAGAUCGGGAGGAAUACCAGUGGCGAAGGCGCCCUUCUGGACGGUUACUGACGCUGAGACGCGAAAGCGUGGGGAGCAAACAG
RNAcentral lists this ribosomal RNA (251 nucleotides) under uncultured prokaryote. Its description in RNAcentral is "partial 16S rRNA". It matches the Rfam family "Bacterial small subunit ribosomal RNA", at positions 525 to 775 of the family's 1533-position model. The record is from RNAcentral.